RNAcentral lists this unclassified non-coding RNA (280 nucleotides) under Hevea brasiliensis (rubber tree). The record is from RNAcentral. Lineage: Eukaryota; Viridiplantae; Streptophyta; Magnoliopsida; Malpighiales; Euphorbiaceae.
AGAGAGAAAAAAAAAAUAUUAUGAUUCUAUAUUUUUGUAAUGAAAUGUUUAUUUUGAGGAGAGGCAGCUACCAUGUCUCUAAUGAAAUCUAUAUUUUUAUAACGAAAUCUUUAUUUUGAGUAACGUAUUAUUGAAAAAAUAAAAUAUUAGUUUUCAAUUAAUACAUUACUCAAAAUAAAGAUUUCAUUACAAAAUUGCGGAUUUCAUAGCCUUUUUUAUUUACAUAACUAGAUUUUCUUCCCCUUUCUAACAUAGCAUAAUAUAUACUAAUAAGAAACCG